UACGGGGGGGGCAAGCGUUGUUCGGAAUUACUGGGCGUAAAGGGCUCGUAGGUGGCCAACUAAGUCAGGGGUGAAAUCCUGGAGCUCAACUCCAGAACUGCCCUUGAUACUGAGGAGCUCGAGUCCGGAAGAGGUGAGUGGAACUCCGAGUGUAGAGGUGAAACUCGUAGAUAUUCGGAAGAACACCAGUGGCGAAGGCGGCUCACUGGUCCGGUACUGACGCUGAGGUGCGAAAGCGUGGGGAGCAAACAGG
Molecule: ribosomal RNA, 253 nt
Filed under: uncultured bacterium
Lineage: Bacteria
Description: partial 16S ribosomal RNA
Rfam family: Bacterial small subunit ribosomal RNA
Source: RNAcentral